This 460-nucleotide ribosomal RNA is filed under the name uncultured bacterium. Its description in RNAcentral is "partial 16S ribosomal RNA". It matches the Rfam family "Bacterial small subunit ribosomal RNA", at positions 338 to 795 of the family's 1533-position model. The record is from RNAcentral.
CCUACGGGGGGCAGCAGUGAGGAAUAUUGGUCAAUGGACGAGAGUCUGAACCAGCCAAGUAGCGUGAAGGAUGACUGCCCUAUGGGUUGUAAACUUCUUUUAUAUGGGAAUACAAUGUUCCGAGUGUGGGAUUUUGUAUGUACCAUAUGAAUAAGGAUCGGCUAACUCCGUGCCAGCAGCCGCGGUAAUACGGAGGAUCCGAGCGUUAUCCGGAUUUAUUGGGUUUAAGGGGAGCGUAGGUGGAUUGUUAAGUCAGUUGUGAAAGUUUGCGGCUCAACCGUAAAAUUGCAGUUGAAACUGGCAGUCUUGAGUACAGUAGAGGUGGGCGGAAUUCGUGGUGUAGCGGUGAAAUGCUUAGAUAUCACGAAGAACACCGAUUGCGAAGGCAGUUCACUGGACUGCAACUGACACUGAGGCUCGAAAGUGUGGGUAUCAAACAGGAUUAGAUACCCCAGUAGUC